RNAcentral lists this transfer RNA (82 nucleotides) under Caerostris darwini. RNAcentral describes it as "tRNA-Ser". Lineage: Eukaryota; Metazoa; Arthropoda; Arachnida; Araneae; Araneidae. The record is from RNAcentral.
GUAGUCAUGGCCAGGUGGUUACGGCGAUGGACUAGAUAUCCAUUGAGAGAAUCCCGCGUAUGUUCGAAGCCUACCGACUACG